This 495-nucleotide ribosomal RNA is filed under the name uncultured bacterium. RNAcentral's name for it is "partial 16S ribosomal RNA". It matches the Rfam family "Bacterial small subunit ribosomal RNA", at positions 28 to 507 of the family's 1533-position model. The record is from RNAcentral.
GACGAACGCUGGCGGCGUGCCUAAUACAUGCAAGUAGAACGCUGAAGGAGGAGCUUGCUUCUCUGGAUGAGUUGCGAACGGGUGAGUAACGCGUAGGUAACCUGCCUGGUAGCGGGGGAUAACUAUUGGAAACGAUAGCUAAUACCGCAUAAGAGUAGAUGUCGCAUGACAUUUGCUUAAAAGGUGCAAUUGCAUCACUACCAGAUGGACCUGCGUUGUAUUAGCUAGUUGGUGAGGUAACGGCUCACCAAGGCAACGAUACAUAGCCGACCUGAGAGGGGGAUCGGCCACACUGGGACGGAGACACGGCCCAGACUCCUACGGGAGGCAGCAGUAGGGAAUCUUCGGCAAUGGACGGAAGUCUGACCGAGCAACGCCGCGUGAGUGAAGAAGGUUUUCGGAUCGUAAAGCUCUGUUGUAAGAGAAGAACGAGUGUGAGAGUGGAAAGUUCACACUGUGACGGUAUCUUACCAGAAAGGGACGGCUAACUACGUG